Molecule: ribosomal RNA, 385 nt
Filed under: uncultured bacterium
Lineage: Bacteria
Description: bacterial SSU rRNA
Rfam family: Bacterial small subunit ribosomal RNA
Source: RNAcentral
GACGGACGCUGGCGGCGUGCUUAACACAUGCAAGUCGAGCGGUAAGGCCCUUUCGGGGGUACACGAGCGGCGAACGGGUGAGUAACACGUGGGUGACCUGCCCUUAGCUCUGGGAUAAGCCUGGGAAACUGGGUCUAAUACCGGAUAUGACUCCAUGACGCAUGUUGUGGGGUGGAAAGCCUUGUGCGGCUAGGGAUGGGCCCGCGGCCUAUCAGCUUGUUGGUGGGGUGAUGGCCACCAAGGCGACGACGGGUAGCCGGCCUGAGAGGGCGACCGGCCACACUGGGACUGAGACACGGCCCAGACUCCUACGGGAGGCAGCAGUGGGGAAUCUUGCGCAAUGGGCGAAAGCCUGACGCAGCGACGCCGCGUGGGGAUGACGGCC